RNAcentral lists this ribosomal RNA (479 nucleotides) under uncultured bacterium. Its description in RNAcentral is "bacterial SSU rRNA". It matches the Rfam family "Bacterial small subunit ribosomal RNA", at positions 28 to 494 of the family's 1533-position model. The record is from RNAcentral.
GAUGAACGCUAGCUACAGGCUUAACACAUGCAAGUCGAGGGGAAACGAUAUUGGAAGCUUGCUUCCGAUAGGCGUCGACCGGCGCACGGGUGAGUAACGCGUAUCCAACCUGCCCACCACUUGGGGAUAACCUUGCGAAAGUAAGACUAAUACCCAAUGAUAUCCCACGAAGGCAUCCGAAUGGGAUUAAAGAUUUAUCGGUGAUGGAUGGGGAUGCGUCUGAUUAGCUUGUUGGCGGGGUAACGGCCCACCAAGGCGACGAUCAGUAGGGGUUCUGAGAGGAAGGUCCCCCACAUUGGAACUGAGACACGGUCCAAACUCCUACGGGAGGCAGCAGUGAGGAAUAUUGGUCAAUGGACGGGAGUCUGAACCAGCCAAGUAGCGUGCAGGACGACGGCCCUAUGGGUUGUAAACUGCUUUUAUAGGGGGAUAAAGUGUGCCACGUGUGGCAUAUUGCAGGUACCCUAUGAAUAAGGACC